GUCUCCGUGGGGGCUCCAAAGGGGGCUGGCUAACUUCUUUGCUGACCUCCACCUUUCUUUCUGCCUGUUGAAUCUGGGUCCCUCUUGGGUCUACAUGUCAGUGACAGAGUAAUUUCUCUGGAAAGCAAUUACUUCUCAGUCCCCUUCUCGGUCUUUCUGACGGGGUUUGGUACAGGCCCAAACCUCAGGGCCCGUAUGUCUCCUGUAUAGGUGUUGGGAGAGAGAAUGAGAAGCCGCGUACAGGGGGUGAGAGGGCGCCCCAAUUUUGGCCAUGACUAUCUACUCUUGCUCUCACAGAAUUUCCUCUUGGCUAAGCUUUCUUCUAUGUUUGCAUGACUGAAGUUUCAGUCUAAAAGCCAGUCAGGUCAAUCAGCGCUGUGGUUGUCUCUCAAUUGUUUGUAGACGUGGAGGGGCAAAGAGGGCGAGUACCUGGCUCCUGUCUCUGAUCAGGACACACCCGGGUCAGAAAGAUGAGGUCUGUCCGGUUCUGCAAGGGUGUUAUUUGAAGAAUGAAAGGGGACGACUUCGUCUGGUACUCAGAGAAGCCCAAUCAUUCAUAGAGCUGCAGGAGUCCAUUUAUAUCCUGACUCACAUUUCAGAACAGCCUAGAAGAAAACAACAUCAAGUGGAAGCUGGAAUCAAGUAUUUAAAAGUUUUCCUUCACUGGGUUUGGUUCACUAUUCGACUACCAAAGUUAGAAUCAAAUAAAAGCAAAUGCAAAUAAAAAGCACCCUUGUCAGCAGUCACGUUUGGUCGGAAGAUCAGCUUUGCUGCAUCCGAAAGGUCACUGCCCAGAGGAGCACACUUUGGACCCUGACAAGCAACGUGCCAUGAAUUGACUUGGAGGCACAGCUGACACUUGUAAAUCCCACCCCCAGCCCGGCCGUCAGCUCAUCCCACCUCAUCAUGCCUCUCAGAUACGCUCACAGCCCAGAUUUUCAAGUACCAGACCUCACAGGAAGAGGCCAAUCAUCCGCAUGUAGAAGUCUGUGUUAAAUGAAAUACAGGAUCAAGCCAAGGAGCCUGAGUUAGGGACUGGUGUUGACAGCUCCUCAUUCCCGCCACUUACUAAUUUUAUUUCCCUCCUCAGCUGGUGUCAUUGCCUAAAAACCUUUUAAGCACAGGUUUUCAUAUUCUGUGAUUUAACUC
This is a long non-coding RNA of Bos taurus (domestic cattle), 1149 nucleotides long. NCBI's taxonomy places the organism in Eukaryota, Metazoa, Chordata, Mammalia, Artiodactyla, Bovidae. The record is from Ensembl.